This 515-nucleotide ribosomal RNA is filed under the name uncultured bacterium. RNAcentral's name for it is "partial 16S ribosomal RNA". It matches the Rfam family "Bacterial small subunit ribosomal RNA", at positions 28 to 523 of the family's 1533-position model. The record is from RNAcentral.
GAUGAACGCUGGCGGCGUGCCUAAUACAUGCAAGUCGAGCGAAUGGAUUAAGAGCUUGCUCUUAUGAAGUUAGCGGCGGACGGGUGAGUAACACGUGGGUAACCUGCCCAUAAGACUGGGAUAACUCCGGGAAACCGGGGCUAAUACCGGAUAACAUUUUGAACCGCAUGGUUCGAAAUUGAAAGGCGGCUUCGGCUGUCACUUAUGGAUGGACCCGCGUCGCAUUAGCUAGUUGGUGAGGUAACGGCUCACCAAGGCAACGAUGCGUAGCCGACCUGAGAGGGUGAUCGGCCACACUGGGACUGAGACACGGCCCAGACUCCUACGGGAGGCAGCAGGAGGGAAUCUUCCGGAAUGGACGAAAGUCUGACGGAGCAACGCCGCGUGAGUGAUGAAGGCUUUCGGGUCGUAAAACUCUGUUGUUAGGGAAGAACAAGUGCUAGUUGAAUAAGCUGGCACCUUGACGGUACCUAACCAGAAAGCCACGGCUAACUACGUGCCAGCCGCCGCCGUAA